GACGAACGCUGGCGGCGUGCCUAAUACAUGCAAGUAGAACGCUGAAGGAGGAGCUUGCUUCUCCGGAUGAGUUGCGAACGGGUGAGUAACGCGUAGGUAACCUGCCUGGUAGCGGGGGAUAACUAUUGGAAACGAUAGCUAAUACCGCAUAACAGUAGAUAUUGCAUGAUAUCUGCUUGAAAGGUGCAAUUGCAUCACUACCAGAUGGACCUGCGUUGUAUUAGCUAGUUGGUGGGGUAACGGCUCACCAAGGCGACGAUACAUAGCCGACCUGAGAGGGUGAUCGGCCACACUGGGACUGAGACACGGCCCAGACUCCUACGGGAGGCAGCAGGAGGGAAUCUUCGGCAAUGGACGGAAGUCUGACCGAGCAACGCCGCGGGAGUGAAGAAGGUUUUCGGAUCGGAAAGCUCUGUUGUAAGAGAAGAACGAGUGUGAGAGUGGAAAGUUCACACUGUGACGGUAUCUUACCAGAAAGGGACGGCUAACUACGUG
RNAcentral lists this ribosomal RNA (495 nucleotides) under uncultured bacterium. RNAcentral describes it as "partial 16S ribosomal RNA". It matches the Rfam family "Bacterial small subunit ribosomal RNA", at positions 28 to 507 of the family's 1533-position model. The record is from RNAcentral.